UACUUAACCGUUUUUGUAAAACAACAGCACUCGAGGUCUGACAGUAUUUUACCAAGAAAUGCACAAAAUAUUCAAAAAGAAGGCCUAGAAAAUUUAAAUAUUGGACAAGAACUAUAGAAGAUACAGAGAAAUAAUAUACAGCAGAAAUGAUAGGCAAUGUAAAAUUUGCAGAAGCCAACUUAACCUAAAUGGUGAUCAGACAUCUCGGUUUUCAUGAUCAAUAGGUCAUUACUGAAGAGGAAACUUAAAGUUGAAAUUUAUUUACAUAGUGCAUAAUUGGAUUAAUUUGAAAUGGAAUGUGUGCUUUCCUGCAAAAAAGAAAUAGGAAAUUUCAACAUGUGAUAAUGACCAUAUAAAACAAAAUGGAGUUCUAUCAUAGAUACCCAAAAACACUAUUGCAUAAAAGCAACAACAUAUCUUAAUCAAAAGAAAGGAGAAUGCAGAACACAUACUAUUUUGUUGUUGAAAAAAGGAACACCAGUUUUAUCCACUCAUUUACAUCGCUCCCUCAUAUCAAAUAUACAGAAGAAGAUCAUUGAAGAACAAUUUGCAAAAAUGAUUUCUCUUAGAAUUGAAGGGAAUUGUUUAGUGAAUGGAAUAAUGUAUUCACUGAAUUCUUACAUAGUGGAUUGAAUAACUGUACACAAGCUGAAACAGAAGAAAUUCUAAUUUAAAAUAACACGAAAAGUGUUUAUUUUAUUAUUUAAUCUGCAAAUAUAUAAAUAUUUUUUUUAGAACACCACAAAUGAUAUAAUGACAUUCAAAUUGGUUGCUUAUUAUUGUAUCGCAUUGAAACAAUUACAAAGAAAACAGAAGCAUUUGCUCCAAAAAAAUAUAAAUCAAAGUUAAAUUUAUAUAAAAAGUAUAAACAAUACCUAGAUCUAAAC
This is a long non-coding RNA of Mytilus trossulus (common blue mussel), 887 nucleotides long. RefSeq lists it as uncharacterized. The record is from RefSeq and is a predicted model, not a curated record. The transcript is spliced from 3 exons. NCBI's taxonomy places the organism in Eukaryota, Metazoa, Mollusca, Bivalvia, Mytilida, Mytilidae.